This 260-nucleotide ribosomal RNA is filed under the name uncultured bacterium. RNAcentral describes it as "partial 16S ribosomal RNA". It matches the Rfam family "Bacterial small subunit ribosomal RNA", at positions 524 to 783 of the family's 1533-position model. The record is from RNAcentral.
UACAGAGGGGCAAGCGUUGUUCGGAAUUACUGGGCGUAAAGGGCGCGUAGGCGGCCUGUUAAGUCGAACGUGAAAUCCCCGGGCUCAACCCGGGAACUGCGUCCGAAACUGGCAGGCUUGAAUUCGGGAGAGGGAUGCGGAAUUCCAGGUGUAGCGGUGAAAUGCGUAGAUAUCUGGAGGAACAUCGGUGGCGAAGGCGGCAUCCUGGACCGAUAUUGACGCUGAGGAGCGAAAGCUAGGGGGANCAAACGGGAUUAGAA